RNAcentral lists this long non-coding RNA (3374 nucleotides) under Gallus gallus (chicken). RNAcentral's name for it is "long non-coding RNA NONGGAT007251". The record is from RNAcentral. Lineage: Eukaryota; Metazoa; Chordata; Aves; Galliformes; Phasianidae.
AGCCCGUGGACUAACCCCAGAUGUGUUCAUGGUUCUUCUCCAAAUUAAGCUAUGAGUGCGUGGAAUAGUUCAGGAUAUUAUGCAUCUCAUAAUGGAUAAAUAUAUGGGAUUCCUGCCAAAUUAGGGUGGCUCAGAAGCUGCAGCCCCAGUAGAAGAAGUAAAUCAGUUAGGAAGGUAAUGACUGCCUCACACGAUAUGCAUUCAGAACUUGGUGCAUAGACAAACAAGUUCAAGGAAUUGCACUCAUUUCCUUUGCUACUUUAUUUGAUUGUGCAGCAAGGGAGAGAGAAUGAGGUAACUUCAUUUGCAUUAAAAUUAUGAUCUCUGUUUUUCAAACCACUAACAGUCACAAAAGAUCAGGAAUAUAUACAAAACAUCCUAUUUAGGUGUUUUAUUUGCAAUGCUGUUUUUCAUCAGUUAUUAAUGCCAGCUAGAUCACAUUCCAUCGACAGAGUGUAGAAGUGACGGAUAACAAGCAGACAUUUAAGACGUGAUCCUAAAGAUACUGUACAGGCUGGUUUUACUGUGUGAUAGCCAACAGCUGCAAGGCCAGAAAAAUGUUAGGACUAACAGAACUGGAGCUGGACCCCUGCUAAUAGUCUGUAUGGGAGAAGAAGUGUUUGCAGCCCCACGCUUAUAAAAAGCAAUUAAGUCAGAGGCCAGAGAUGGUACAAGAGCAGAUUACAAAUCAUGCGAUUUUAAACCAGAUCGCCUCUGAGAUUUUUAUAUUUGAUUUUCUGUGGAAGCCUUUAGGCUGUGCAUUUUCCACUUAUCUUCCUAAGCCACAGGAGCUUGGAAACUUGUAUUUUGUUUCCCAAGUGAAAGCUGAGAUGAUUAUGUACAGACAUGAGUUAGGAGCUCAGACUGCAGAAGGAAUGCCAAAUAUUUUGCAGAGCCACUACUGAGAGCUUAAAAACAGUUUGCUUCUUGUACUGCUUUUUCUUAAGUAUUCACAUAAUCAAAGUAUAGGCUUAAGUGACGUGGGUUGGAUAAAUCCAAAUACACGAGUAUUUGGCUGAGCGCUUAUUGGUGAUACAAUGAAGUCAAGACUAAGAGCUGCCACUAUGGACAGCACCGUCUCUUGGCUAAUAAACAUCUCAUUGGCUCCUGCACAAUUUUUUUCAAGUACAAAUGCAGCCAGCUUUGUUCUUGUCUGAAUAGCACCUCUUUUCCCUUCGUUUGACUUACAGCUGUGUCAGAAAGGGUUUAAAACAAGUUUUGUGUGGGGUCAUACUUACUUUGAGAGGUUGUUGGACUCAUUUGCUCUGUGGGCCCUCUGAUGUAUGGAGAUAUCUGUGCAGCAGUGUCAGAAGCAGAGAUGGACACCACCUUGGACAAGUAGAUGCAAGAAGUGCCAUUCUGGUCCAUAGGGAUGUUCACAUGGAUCAAGAAGAACAUUCUAGCUUCUCAGGGGAGACUCAGCGUUCACACAACGCAGAGCCUGUGAAAUCAGUGUCCCCUCAGAGCAGGAAUAUUGUCCUCCCACUUUGGCUUCUCUAGGAGUCUUCUCUGAAAACGUACCUACUGUCUUCUUGAAUUUUGUGAGACUGAGUUUGGGCACUCUUGCAAUUCACACCUACCAUGGAAACUUACGGUGUGGAAAGAUUUUGAAUAUUUGCCUGCACCCCAGACUUUUUUUGUUUGUUUCUUCUGAUAAUCAGUAUAUAACAACAGUACUCAUUUUAAAGUCUGUUUUGAAAUUUCCCUCCCCACCUUUCUCACCAUGGUACUACAGUGCUGCAGAUGUAGUGUUAUUGGUGCUACAGUGACUCCACAGCAGUUUCUGCAUCAAAGGAAAACAGGGCCCGAAUCAUGGCAGGAGGAAGAGCUGAAACACUAGAAACUCUCUCUGCAAAGGAAGGCCCUCUCCUCAUGACAAGGUUCUCCAUCACUGGAAUGAUACUAAGGAACAAAAUUCAGAUUUUCUUCUAUUAAACGCACUGAACUACAGUGAACUGAUGCCCAGCACUGAAGCAGCUUUACAGAGCUGUCAGGCACAAGCUUCCAUUAUUUGAGCAUACCAGGCUGGAGGAAUCCUUCGUGCGUUUUGGCACUGCUAGACCUUGUCAUCUCCUCAGUAUGAGAACAAGAAAAUGGGGAUGUAGUCAUAAGAAGACAGCAGCUGCCAGUAACAGAAUAGACCCUGUAGAGCUCAGUCAUGCUUAGAGAACCACUUCCCUACAUGAUAUUCUGGCAAGAGUAACCAGGAAAAUCAGAAGAUGCUGUUCCAGAUGUCAUAAAGACCACAGUAUAAAAAAAAACCCAACAUAAUCCUGCUUUGAAAAUUCACUGUAAAGAAAGGAAAAGACCGACUGCAUCUCUCUUGUAAUGAAAUCUUGCUUUGAGCCACAGGUCUCUGGGUGUCAAAGUAACUACUGAAGGAGCUUUCCUUUCAUGAAGAGAAAAACUUCAUCUCGGUAUGAAUGAUAUGUAUCCCCUAUUGUAUUGGAGGAUGAGAAAUCUGUGACAAAGCCCAUGCCUUUGGUGGUGCCCUGUCUACUAUGGAUCCCAGGAUAAACCCAGCAGGAGACAUGAAGGGGUGAUGGGGCAAAGCAUCCCUCUCUGCAGAUCAUUCCCAAGCUCAGGUGCUGUGAGAUGGGGCAUAGAUUCCCUUGUACCACGUACAGCAAGAGGUAAUGCAACCACCUGAGAGGAGGGACACAAUUGCCAGUUAGCGCUGUCACUGAUUUAGGAAGCGGUUUAUAUCAAUCUUUGCAGACUGACUGAAUCACGGCUGUGGUUUGGUGGCACUUUCCCGGCAUGGGCUGAAAAAGCUGUCACGCUGAAAAUGAUGUGAAUGGUCAUUAGAGAGCUCCUGCUGUCCCCUAGGGAGGUGAGCUAACCAAGGUGCUAUUGCGUCAUUCUCCCCUCAUGAGCUGGAAGGUGACGAAGUUAGGGGAACGUGACCUGUAGCAGUUGUGUUGAAUGUGAAAAGUGUGGCAUGGUGCCUGUUGACUUUAUUUACCUGACUGUUAUCUCUGGACUUCCCUCCAACUAUACAUUGUUUAAGAGGAAUUUCUCUAGAGAUUACAGAGGUAAGACAUCUGUCUUAACACAAGGUUUAUUACUUUUCUUAGUGUUCUUUCCAUGUUUUUGAUGUGAAUUGACAGAGGAAUUAAGCAGCAAGAAUUAAAUGACAGAAACAUUUUACGUUGGAUGUCAGAAGAUAUCUCUUCCCAGCAUGACUGUUGUGUGCUCUGCUCAGUACAGACUUCCUCUGAUCACUGGCACGUUGAAGAAGUCCCUCCUCCAAGAUUUCUGUAAUAAUGUGAAGAUGAAAGACAGAAAUCAAGACUAUGUGAAAUGUUGAUUGGGGGUCUGAAUUUAACUGGCAAAAGAGAUUAGUUCCUGAAAAUUACAUUAGCAGUGGCUUG